AGUGAACGCUGGCGGCGGGCCUAAUACAUGCAAGUCGAGCGACCACAUAAUGAGCGUUCGCCUCUAAGGGUGGCGAGUGACGGGUGGGUGACACAUAGAUAACAUACCUAUAUUACGUGGGGGACUUCGUGGGGCCAGAUCUGAUACCAGAGAAUAUGUUCAACGGGUGAAAUCAAUAGAUAAAUGGUGUUUGGGUGUCAGUUAGAGCUGGUGCCGGGUCGCAUUAGCUAGUUGGUAAGGGAACGGCCUACCAAGGCAACGAUGCGUAGCCGAUCUGAGAGGGUGAUCGGCCACACUGGAACUGAGACACGGUCCAGACUCCUACGGGAGGCAGCAGUAGGGAAUAUUCCGCAAUGGGCGAAAGCUUGACGGAGCCAAGCCGCGUGAGUGAUGAAGGUCUUCGGAUAGUAAAGCUCUGUUAUUAGGGAAGAACAACUGUGGAAGUAACUAUGGACGUCUUGACGGUACCCAAUGAGAAAGCAACGGCUAACUACGUG
Molecule: ribosomal RNA, 497 nt
Filed under: uncultured bacterium
Lineage: Bacteria
Description: partial 16S ribosomal RNA
Rfam family: Bacterial small subunit ribosomal RNA
Source: RNAcentral